Molecule: ribosomal RNA, 371 nt
Filed under: uncultured bacterium
Lineage: Bacteria
Description: bacterial SSU rRNA
Rfam family: Bacterial small subunit ribosomal RNA
Source: RNAcentral
ACGAACUGUGCAAACGUUAUUCGGAAUCACUGGGCUUACAGGGUGCGUAGGCGGCUUGUUAAGCAGGGUGUGAAAUCCCUCGGCUCAACCGAGGAAUUGCGCCCUGAACUGGCGAGCUGGAGUGGGACAGAGGUGCGCGGAACUUCCAGUGGAGCGGUGAAAUGUGUUGAUAUUGGAAGGAACGCCGGAGGCGAAAGCGGCGCACUGGGUCUUAACUGACGCUGAGGCACGAAAGCCAGGGGAGCAAACGGGAUUAGAUACCCCGGUAGUCCUGGUCGUAAACUAUGAGCACUAGCUGGAAGCGGCGUAUGCCGUUUCCAACGUAGCAAAAGUGUUAAGUGCUCCGCCUGGGGAGUAUGGUCGCAAGGCUG